AGAGUUUGAUCCUGGCUCAGGACGAACGCUGGCGACGUGCCUAAAACAUGCAAGUCGAACGAGGUAGCAAUACCUAGUGGCGAACGGCGAAGUAAUACAUGAACAACCUGCCUUGAAGUUUGGGAUAUACAGAGGAAACUCUGGGUAAUACCAAAUGUGACCAUUACCGCGGCAUCGUGGAGUGAUUAAAGGUUUUACGCUUCAAGAGGGAUUCAUGGCCUAUCAGGUAGUUGGGAGGGUAAUGGCCUACCAAGCCGACGACGGGUAGCGGGUCUGAGAGGAUGAUCCGCUCGAGUGGGACUGAGACACGGCCCACACACCUACGGGUGGCAGCAGUUGGGAAUCUUGCGCAAUGGGGGAAACCCUGACGCAGCGACGUCGCGUGGAGGAUGAAGGAUCUAGGUCUGUAAACUCCUUUUUCAUGGGAAAGACUUAUGACGGUACCCUGAGAAUAAGCACCGGCUAACUACGUGCCAGCAGCCGCGGUAAGACGUAGGGUGCAAGCGUCGUCCGGAUUUACUGGGCGUAAAUGGCGCGUAAGCGGUCUGUCAAGUGUAGAGUGAAAUCUCCACGGCUCAACCCGGAUACUGCUCUGCAUACUGGCAGACUUGAGGGACGAAGAGGUAUGUGCAGUUCCUGGUGUACCGGUGAAAUGCGUUGAUAUCAGGAUGGAGCAACCAUGGUCGCAAGGCAGCAUUACUGGAUCCUCUCUUGNCCGCUGUAGGCUCCAAAAGCGUGGGUUAGCAACCUGGAGUACGAUACCCUGGGUAGUCCAGUGCGAAUGCCGCCCCCUGACGCUGCUA
This 803-nucleotide ribosomal RNA is filed under the name uncultured bacterium. RNAcentral's name for it is "bacterial SSU rRNA". It matches the Rfam family "Bacterial small subunit ribosomal RNA", at positions 9 to 873 of the family's 1533-position model. The record is from RNAcentral.